CGAGUCAGCUGGGUAAUCGCCGCUAUUUGAUAGAAAUAUCAGACGGGGGAGGAAAGUCCGGGCUCCACAGAGCAGGGUGCCAGGUAACUCCUGGGGGGCGUGAGCCUACGGAAAGUGCAGCAGAAAAUAAACCGCCUAAGUGGCCGUUACUUCGGUAAUGGCUACCGGUAAGGGUGAAAUGGUGCGGUAAGAGCGCACCGCGCGGGUGGCAACACUUCGUGGCAUGGUAAACCCCACCUGGAGCAAGACCAAAUAGAAAUCCACUGGCGUUGCUCGCGCUGGAUUUGGGUAGGUUGCUUGAGGCCAGUAGUGAUGCUGGCCCUAGAUGA
Molecule: RNase P RNA, 329 nt
Filed under: Gammaproteobacteria bacterium
Lineage: Bacteria; Pseudomonadati; Pseudomonadota; Gammaproteobacteria
Description: partial RNase P RNA component class A
Rfam family: Bacterial RNase P class A
About the family: Ribonuclease P (RNase P) is a ubiquitous endoribonuclease, found in archaea, bacteria and eukarya as well as chloroplasts and mitochondria. Its best characterised activity is the generation of mature 5'-ends of tRNAs by cleaving the 5'-leader elements of precursor-tRNAs.
Source: RNAcentral